CAGGAGAAGAAGCCAACAGAAGAUAGGUCUGUGUAUGUGGGUGAAUGAUCCAUGCUUCAACAGCUUGAACUCUUCAGCCUUGCUUGAAGGGGGAGGCCACAUGGAUCACAAGCUCUGAAUAUUGUAAGAUACCUUUGUGCAAAAGGAAUCACACCAUCACUGACAGUUAUCCCCAACUUUGUUCUCCAGCAUAGCAAAACUAAGUCGAAUUGCAUAAAACUGUGCUUCAAUUGAUGUAGAAAACUUUGCUGAACCACAUAUAACCAUGGAGUUUCAGUUUCAGUUGUUAUGCCUUACAAGAGGAGUUAUUUUGCAGUGACAAAGCUUCACUUCUGAUGUCCUGACACAUCGUAGGACUUUGAGGGCCAUAAGAAGUAAUAAAGAAAGAUGUGUAUCUGAAAGACCUCUUAGAGGACUGGGAAACUAUCAGGAAUGAAGAUUAUUGGCUGCAGAUGAUAACUCUGGAAAAAGAAGCAUAACAGUGAAAAGGAAUACACCAUGACUUGAAAGCCUAAGAAGUUCAUCAAACAGAAAAUAAGGACAGCUGUGGGUGAGGCGCCUUUCUUUCAACAUGACAGAUGUUCAAGACAAAAAAUGUCUGCCAGGGCAACAAAACUACUCAAUCUGGAAUAAGAAAGGUCUUGAGCUUCCUAUGCAGUCACCCAAGAGGAAAGUGGCAGGUUACAGCUCCAAAACACACCCAGGAGUGAUGGGAUACACUGACUCUUGGUUCUGCAUACAUCUUUUCUGGUGUGGAGCCUCUGCCUGGUGAUGCAGACAGCACGCCAUGGCUGCCAUGUCUAUCGUACCCUUCACGUUGUAGACAUUUUACAAAGUAAAAAAAAAAAAAAAAAAAAAAAAAAAAAAAAAAAAAUUUCAGUGGGAGAGAAGGGUCUUGAAAAAUGAGUGCUUUUUUUCUAUUCAAAAGCAUGUAUUGGGCUAGAUGUCACCUUAAUUAGAGCCAGGAUGGAAUGUUGGGAUGUAGCAGUGAACCAGAGAAGUUGAAUUAUUAACUAAGUAUUUCCUGUUUGAUAGAAUUUUAGUUUUUGUAUAAAGUUAUGGUGAUUGUAAAAACCCAGUGCAUAAGGUUUAUUUCCAGUGUAUCGAACAUACUCAAGUUUAAUAUUUGAUAUUAUUAUACAGCUUAUGUUUUUCCCUUCAUAAAGUUCAUUAUGAGUCUUGGAACACAAUCCCUAAUUACAAUAUUUUCUGUGGGGAAAUUCGAAUGACUUUUGAGCUUUAUACUUUAUGACAGAGUUUGCAGGUACAUAUGAUAGGAAAAGGAAAACUCUGCUUCCAUAAUUUCUGUUUCUGAGAGCCUUUGGUGUACACAUUUGUUUUAGAGGUUUUCUUUGUUUUAUACAUCUCAAGUUUUCUGGACCUGAUGGUGUACUCUAACAUGACUUCAAAGAAGACAACAAAUAUUGAUGAACAGAUUCUCAUGGCAGCACAAUUUAUGACAGAUAAAAACAGGAAGCAGUUCAGAUUUUAAGCAAAAGGUGAAGGAUCAAAUAAAUCAAUACACAUUCUAGUGACUAACA
This 1541-nucleotide long non-coding RNA is filed under the name Oryctolagus cuniculus (rabbit). RNAcentral describes it as "lncRNA (ENSOCUG00000035599.1)". Lineage: Eukaryota; Metazoa; Chordata; Mammalia; Lagomorpha; Leporidae. The record is from RNAcentral.